This 345-nucleotide unclassified non-coding RNA is filed under the name soil metagenome. RNAcentral describes it as "partial contains 5.8S ribosomal RNA, internal transcribed spacer 2, and large subunit ribosomal RNA". The stretch from base 1 to 120 matches the Rfam family "5.8S ribosomal RNA", at positions 35 to 154 of the family's 154-position model. The record is from RNAcentral.
GAUGAAGAACGUAGCGAAAGGCGAUACGUAAUGUGAAUUACAGAAUUCAGUGAAUCAUCGAGUCUUUGAACGCACAUUGCGCCCCCUGGUAUUCCGGGGGGCAUGCCUGUCCGAGCGUCAUUGCGGCCCUCAAGCACGGCUUGUGUGUUGGGCCUCCGUCCUCCUCCCGGGGGACGGGCCCGAAAGGCAGCGGCGGCACCGCGUCCGGUCCUCGAGCGUAUGGGGCUUCGUCACCCGCUCUUGUAGGCCCGGCCGGCGCUUGCCGACACAUCAAUCUUUUUUCCAGGUUGACCUCGGAUCAGGUAGGGAUACCCGCUGAACUUAAGCAUAUCAAUAAGCGGAGGA